GAUUAUGGCUCAGGAUGAACGCUAGCUACAGGCUUAACACAUGCAAGUCGAGGGGAAACGAUAUUGGAAGCUUGCUUCCGAUAGGCGUCGACCGGCGCACGGGUGAGUAACGCGUAUCCAACCUGCCCAUCACUUGGGGAUAACCUUGCGAAAGUAAGACUAAUACCCAAUGACGUCUCUAGAAGACAUCUGAAAGAGAUUAAAGAUUUAUCGGUGAUGGAUGGGGAUGCGUCUGAUUAGCUUGUUGGCGGGGUAACGGCCCACCAAGGCAACGAUCAGUAGGGGUUCUGAGAGGAAGGUCCCCCACAUUGGAACUGAGACACGGUCCAAACUCCUACGGGAGGCAGCAGUGAGGAAUAUUGGUCAAUGGGCGAGAGCCUGAACCAGCCAAGUAGCGUGCAGGAUGACGGCCCUAUGGGUUGUAAACUGCUUUUAUAAGGGAAUAAAGUGAGUCUCGUGAGACUUUUUGCAUGUACCUUAUGAAUAAGGACCGGCUAAUUCCGUGCCAGCAGCCGCGGUAAUACGGAAGGUCCGGGCGUUAUCCGGAUUUAUUGGGUUUAAAGGGAGCGCAGGCCGGAGAUUAAGCGUGUUGUGAAAUGUAGACGCUCAACGUCUGCACUGCAGCGCGAACUGGUUUCCUUGAGUACGCACAAAGUGGGCGGAAUUCGUGGUGUAGCGGUGAAAUGCUUAGAUAUCACGAAGAACUCCGAUUGCGAAGGCAGCUCACUGGAGCGCAACUGACGCUGAAGCUCGAAAGUGCGGGUAUCGAACAGGAUUAGAUACCCUGGUAGUCCGCACGGUAAACGAUGGAUGCCCGCUGUUGGUCUGAAUAGGUCAGCGGCCAAGCGAAAGCAUUAAGCAUCCCACCUGGGGAGUACGCCGGCAACGGUGCAACUCAAAUGAAUUGACGGA
This 912-nucleotide ribosomal RNA is filed under the name uncultured Bacteroidota bacterium. RNAcentral's name for it is "bacterial SSU rRNA". It matches the Rfam family "Bacterial small subunit ribosomal RNA", at positions 15 to 917 of the family's 1533-position model. The record is from RNAcentral. Lineage: Bacteria; Pseudomonadati; Bacteroidota.